RNAcentral lists this transfer RNA (79 nucleotides) under Podarcis lilfordi (Lilford's wall lizard). RNAcentral's name for it is "tRNA.Ile". Lineage: Eukaryota; Metazoa; Chordata; Lepidosauria; Squamata; Lacertidae. The record is from RNAcentral.
GACUCUUCUGGAUAGCUCAGUUGGUUAGAGCGUGGUGUUGAUAAUGCCAUGGUGGCAGUUUCAAUCCCCGUAUGGGACG